UGAGGAAUAUUGCACAAUGGGGGCAACCCUGAUGCAGCGACGCCGCGUGGGUGAUGAAGGUUUUCGGAUCGUAAAGCCCUUUUCUGCAUGACGAGCACAGGACGGUAGUGCAGGAAUAAGUGUCGGCUAGCUACGUGCCAGCAGCCGCGGUAAAACGUAGGACACAAGCGUUAUCCGGAAUUACUGGGCGUAAAGGGCGUGCAGGCGGUUGCGUAAGUUAGGCGUGAAAGACUUCGGCUAAACCGGGGGAGGUCGUCUGAUACUGCGCAACUAGAGUAUGGUAGAGGCGUGUAGAAUUCCGGGUGUAGUGGUGAAAUGCGUAGAGAUCCGGAGGAAUACCAGUGGCGAAGGCGGCACGCUGGGCCAUAACUGACGCUAAGACGCGAAAGCAUGGGUAGCGAACGGGAUUAGAUACCCCAGUAGUCCCUGAGCGGGCUGGCAAGGCGCAU
Molecule: ribosomal RNA, 449 nt
Filed under: uncultured bacterium
Lineage: Bacteria
Description: bacterial SSU rRNA
Rfam family: Bacterial small subunit ribosomal RNA
Source: RNAcentral